AACGUAUCUGCACAUUCGAUGCUUUAUCCUAGCUCUUAAAACAAAGCCAUAAAUAUCAAAAUGGAAUACGACCUCUUUGACAAUAUGUGAAUUUUGCAUGUCAACUGUCAUCAAUUCAUUCAGUUAUUGCCUGUAUCGCGAGGGACCGUCGCCCAAUGAAUAGUCCCACCCAUAGUUAGCUCUUCCCGCUCAUUUUGACAAGGUCAGGGCCGAGGAAGACCUUCCAAACCUUCUGCAACUGGUUGUUCCAGAAAACAUCAAUGCAUUCAGUAGAGAAAUAAUUAACUGUUCAGCUACAUCCAAAGUUUUACCAUCAGUUUUACGUACGCCAUAUUCCUACGACUGGUUUGAUGAAGUACUUCACAAUUUUCGAUCAAUCAACACGGCGUGCGACUAUUGUAUUUUUGAAUAUGUAUACAGCUUAAUGUAGUUAUUAUUAUGUUUGUCUAACUCUAAGUAAAACCUUUAUUAUGUACAUAAUAUCAUAUAUCAAUGUUAACAGACAAGUCUCUAAUGUCAGUGAAAUAAAUGUUGUGGUUCAGUGCUGCAAAAAUAACAACUUCUCAAAUUCUAUGA
Long non-coding RNA from Trichoplusia ni (cabbage looper), 576 nucleotides. RefSeq lists it as uncharacterized. NCBI's taxonomy places the organism in Eukaryota, Metazoa, Arthropoda, Insecta, Lepidoptera, Noctuidae. The transcript is spliced from 2 exons. The record is from RefSeq and is a predicted model, not a curated record.